This 248-nucleotide long non-coding RNA is filed under the name Mytilus galloprovincialis (Mediterranean mussel). Lineage: Eukaryota; Metazoa; Mollusca; Bivalvia; Mytilida; Mytilidae. The record is from RNAcentral.
AAAAUUUCUUCAAACAUUUUUUUGAGAGGAUUAAUAUUCAACAGCAUAGUGAAUUGCUCUAAGAGAAAACAAAAAUUUUAAGUUCAUUAGAACACAUUCUUUCUGUGUCAGAAACCUAUGCUGUGUCAACUAUUUAAUCACAAUCCAAAUUUAGAGCUGAAUCCAGCUUGAAUGUUGUGUCCAUACUUGCCCCAACCGUUCAGGGUUCAACCUCUGCGGUCGUAUAAAGCUACGCCCUGCGGAGCAUC